GACGAACGCUGGCGGCGUGCUUAACACAUGCAAGUCGAACGAAAAGACGGAAAGAGCUUGCUCUUUUCAGAAUUGAGUGGCAAACGGGUGAGUAACACGUAAACAACCUGCCUUCAGGAUGGGGACAACAGACGGAAACGACUGCUAAUACCGAAUAAGUUCCAAGAGCCGCAUGGCCCAUGGAAGAAAAGGUGGCCUCUACCUGUAAGCUAUCGCCUGAAGAGGGGUUUGCGUCUGAUUAGCUGGUUGGAGGGGUAACGGCCCACCAAGGCGACGAUCAGUAGCCGGUCUGAGAGGAUGAACGGCCACACUGGAACUGAGACACGGUCCAGACUCCUACGGGAGGCAGCAGUGGGGAAUCUUCCGCAAUGGGCGAAAGCCUGACGGAGCAACGCCGCGUGAGUGAUGACGGCCUUCGGGUUGUAAAACUCUGUGAUCCGGGACGAAAAGGCAGAGUGCGAAGAACAAACUGCAUUGACGUACCGGAAAGCAG
Molecule: ribosomal RNA, 493 nt
Filed under: Dialister invisus
Lineage: Bacteria; Bacillati; Bacillota; Negativicutes; Veillonellales; Veillonellaceae
Description: bacterial SSU rRNA
Rfam family: Bacterial small subunit ribosomal RNA
Source: RNAcentral